AAAGAUUUAUCGCCUUAAGAGGGGGGUGCGGAUCAACAGUUAGUUGGUGAGGUAAAUGCUCACCAAGACGAUGACGGAUAGCCGGCCUGAGAGGGUGAUCGGCCGCAACGGGACUGAGACACGGCCCGUACUCCUACGGGAGGCAGCAGUGAGGAAUUUUGGACAAUGGAGGAAACUCUGAUCCAGCUAUUCUGCGUGAAGGAUGAAGCUUUUCGGAGUGUAAACUUCUUUUCUGGGGGAAGACGAAUGACGGUACCUCAAGAAUAAGAGGCGGCUAACUAUGUGCCAGCAGCCGCGGUAAUACAUAGGCCUCAAAUGUUACCCGGAGUUACUGGGCGUAAAGGGUCCGUAGCCGGAUAUGUAAGUCUAUCUUCAAAAACUGAAGCUUAACUUCAGGGAGGGGGUAGAUACUGUAUAUCUAGAGAUAGAAGGGGGUUAGUGGAAUUUCCGGUGGAGCAGUGGAAUGUGUUGAUAUCGGGAAGAACGCCAAAAGUGAAGACAGCUAACUACUACUAAUCUGACGGUGAGUGACGAAAGCAUAGGUAUCAAAUAGGAUUAGAUACCCUAGUAGUCUAUGCUGUAAAUGAUGUAUGC
This 594-nucleotide ribosomal RNA is filed under the name uncultured organism. Its description in RNAcentral is "bacterial SSU rRNA". It matches the Rfam family "Bacterial small subunit ribosomal RNA", at positions 202 to 816 of the family's 1533-position model. The record is from RNAcentral.